Molecule: long non-coding RNA, 1260 nt
Organism: Trematomus bernacchii (emerald rockcod)
Lineage: Eukaryota; Metazoa; Chordata; Actinopteri; Perciformes; Nototheniidae
Exons: 4
Source: RefSeq, a predicted model, not a curated record
UUAGCCCAGCAGCUAGCAGCGUUUUAGCGAGCGAUAUUAAGACUCAAACGAGUAAAAGUAACGGCAAAUGUAACAUUAUAAUACCAAGACCCAUUGCUACGCAAAAAACACGUUACAAAUGGGUCGGUGAUUUGCCUGACAAAUUAACUCACAUCCAGCGGUGAGCUUUUAUCCAAGCAAAGCUAGCUGUGUGUAGGCCCGAGCAUAGCGGCUGUCGGACCGACCCGUCCGCCGUGAGUCUGACCGAGAGGGAAAGCUCUGCUGCGGCCAGCUGAGCGGGUAGAAGACACCCAAAGAGAACAGCCGGUAGAGGCAGGGGGUAUUCCAUGAGAGCGGCCAUUUAAGAAACACAAGGUGUCAGUGCAGCACUGUGCCUGGUAAAUAAGAAGAGAAGAACGUCACGUGAUUCUCACGCAAGCGUUGGCUUGACAACCACCGUAAUCUCUUCCUGUUGCUAAAAGCAAGCCACAAGAAGACACAAUGCCAGAAGUCAAGUCAAUAUUCAGAGAAGUUCUGCCUAAACAAGGGCAACUUUCCAUGGAAGAUGUGCCUACCAUGGUUUUGUGUAAGCCAAAGCUGCUCCCACUCAAAUCAGUCACACUGGAGAAACUGGAGAAGAUGCAGAUGGAGGCUCAAAAGGCCGUCAAGCUGCAGGAACUGGCAAUGAAGGAGCAGAAUCAGUAGAUGACUGAUUGGAGGACUCAUAACAACAUGAAUGGUCAAACUGGCAGGAAGUCCCUUCAGAUGGAUGGCACAAACCCAGAUUUUUACGCACGGGAAGAAAAUGUUUUUGUUAGAACAGUCAAAAUAUCAAGAAAUGUGUGAUGUUUGGCUUCACAGAGAUAAGCUUAGAAGGGAGUAGCAACCUGAGCUUAAAAACUCCUUCACUCUUUGAAGGUCUAAAUGUUUUAUUGUUGAUUGAUCUUCUGCAUGUCACCGUUAAGGAUUACAUCUAUCGCUUGCCAGUGUGGUUGGCUAUUAAGACCUGUGCGCUUCAUGAGAUUUUCCAUGUGUAUUACUGCAUCUGUGAUUUGACAUUAACAAGAGAACAUCAGUUAAAAGCUUCCUUAUCGAGUGAAUGUAGAGCAGUUUAUUUGUCAGAUCAUAGAAUAAAGUUGUAAUACUUGUUUAUAGUGUGUCAAUUACAAAUACAGCCAUGGGUUGUUGAAUAGUGAUUUAAUGAACAAACAAGGAGCAAUACGUGGUACAUUUCACUCCCCAGUAUUCCCUAGGUAUAAAAAUAAACACUCUAAAACACAA